CCUACGGGUGGCUGCAGUGGGGAAUAUUGGACAAUGGGCGCAAGCCUGAUCCAGCAAUGCCGCGUGUGUGAAGAAGGCCUUAGGGUUGUAAAGCACUUUCAGUGGGGACGAAAAGCCGCAGGAUAAUACCCGGCGGUCUUGACUUAACCCACAGAAGAAGCACCGGCUAACUCCGUGCCAGCAGCCGCGGUAAUACGGAGGGUGCAAGCGUUAAUCGGAAUUACUGGGCGUAAAGCGCGCGUAGGUGGUUUGGCAAGUCGGAUGUGAAAGCCCUGAGCUUAACUUAGGAAUUGCAUUCGAUACUGCCUGGCUAGAGUAUGGUAGAGGGAAGCGGAAUUCCGCAUGUAGCGGUGAAAUGCGUAGAUAUGCGGAGGAACACCGAUGGCGAAGGCAGCUUCCUGGACUAAUACUGACACUGAGGCGCGAAAGCGUGGGGAGCAAACAGGAUUAGAUACCCCGGUAGUC
This 465-nucleotide ribosomal RNA is filed under the name uncultured Gammaproteobacteria bacterium. RNAcentral describes it as "bacterial SSU rRNA". It matches the Rfam family "Bacterial small subunit ribosomal RNA", at positions 338 to 795 of the family's 1533-position model. The record is from RNAcentral. Lineage: Bacteria; Pseudomonadati; Pseudomonadota; Gammaproteobacteria.